This 77-nucleotide transfer RNA is filed under the name Firmicutes bacterium HGW-Firmicutes-16. Its description in RNAcentral is "tRNA-Val". It matches the Rfam family "tRNA". From Rfam's summary of the family: Transfer RNA (tRNA) molecules are approximately 80 nucleotides in length. Their secondary structure includes four short double-helical elements and three loops (D, anti-codon, and T loops). The record is from RNAcentral. Lineage: Bacteria; Bacillati; Bacillota.
GGAGGCUUAGCUCAGCCGGUUAGAGCGCAUGCUUCACACGCAUGAGGUCGACGGUUCGAUCCCGCCAGUCUCCACCA